UCCCUGGUAGCUCAGAUGGUAAAGCAUCUGCCUACAAUGCGGGAGACCCAGGUUCGAUCCCUGGGUUGGGAA
RNAcentral lists this transfer RNA (72 nucleotides) under Odocoileus virginianus texanus. It matches the Rfam family "tRNA". Rfam says of the family: Transfer RNA (tRNA) molecules are approximately 80 nucleotides in length. Their secondary structure includes four short double-helical elements and three loops (D, anti-codon, and T loops). Further hydrogen bonds mediate the characteristic L-shaped molecular structure. tRNAs have two regions of fundamental functional importance: the anti-codon, which is responsible for specific mRNA codon recognition, and the 3' end, to which the tRNAs corresponding amino acid is attached (by aminoacyl-tRNA synthetases). tRNAs cope with the degeneracy of the genetic code in two manners: having more than one tRNA (with a specific anti-codon) for a particular amino acid; and 'wobble' base-pairing, i.e. permitting non-standard base-pairing at the 3rd anti-codon position. The record is from Rfam by way of RNAcentral. Lineage: Eukaryota; Metazoa; Chordata; Mammalia; Artiodactyla; Cervidae. RNAcentral also lists the same sequence under 5 other names.